GAUGAAGAACGUAGUGAAAUGCGAUAAGUAAUGUGAAUUGCAGAAUUCAAUGAAUCAUCGAAUCUUUGAACGCACAUUGCGCCCGCCAGUAUUCUGGCGGGCAUGCCUGUUCGAGCGUCAUUUCAACCAUCAAGCCCCCGGCUUGUGUUGGGGACCUGCGGCUGCCGCAGGCCCUGAAAACCAGUGGCGGGCUCGCUGUCACACCGAGCGUAGUAGAUUUUCAUCUCGCUCAGGGCGUGCUGCGGGUUCCGGCCGUAAAAAGCCUUAUUUACCCAAGGUUGACCUCGGAUCAGGUAGGAAGACCCGCUGAACUUAAGCAUAUCAAUAAGCGGAGGA
This 336-nucleotide unclassified non-coding RNA is filed under the name soil metagenome. RNAcentral's name for it is "partial contains 5.8S ribosomal RNA, internal transcribed spacer 2, and large subunit ribosomal RNA". The stretch from base 1 to 120 matches the Rfam family "5.8S ribosomal RNA", at positions 35 to 154 of the family's 154-position model. The record is from RNAcentral.